CUUUGGAGAGGAGAGAGAGGAGGAGAGAGAGAGGUAGGGGGGGGUGGAGGGGGAGAGAGAGAGAGGUGGCAAGAGGUGGAGGAGGAGAGAGGAGGAGGGGAAGAGAGGUGGAGGGGAAGAGAGGUGGAGGGUGAUAGAGAGGUGGAGGGGGAGAGAGGUGGAGGGGGAGAGGUGGAGGGGAAGAGAGGUGGAGGGGAGAAGAGGAGGAGAGGAGGAGGGGAAGAGAGGUGGAGGGGGAGAGAGAGGUGGAGGGGGAGACGGAUUAGUUGUUUUAGCAAUGAUAAUGCAUUUGAAACCUUUCUAGUCCCGAGUAUCCUCCUCUACACACACAUCCUCCUCUACACACACAUCCUCUACACACACAUCCUCUACACACACAUCCUCUACACACACACACACACACUCCUCUACACACACAUCCUCUACAUCCUCCUCCCCAGUACACCCUCCUCGCCAGUACACCCUCCUCCCCAGUACACCCUCUACAUCCUCCUCCCCAGUACAUCCUCCUCUCCAGUACACCCUCCUCCCCAGUACACCCUCCUCCCCAGUUCACCCUCUACAUCCUCCUCCCCAGUACAUCCUCCUCCCCAGUACAUCCUCCUCCCCAGUACACCCUCCUCCCCAGUACACCCUCCUCCCCAGUACAUCCUCCUCCCCAGUACGCCCUCCUCCUCCCCAGUACACCCUCCUCCCCAGUACACCCUCCUCCCCAGUACACCCUCCUCCCCAGUACACCCUCCUCCCCAGUACAUCCUCCUCCCCAGAACACCCUCCUCCCCAGUACAUCCUCCUCCCCAGUACACCCUCCUCCCCAGUACAUCCUCCUCCUCCCCAGUACACCCUCCUCCCCAGUACAUCCUCCUCCCCCACAGUACGCCCUCCUCCUCCCCAGUACAUCCUCCUCCCCAGUACAUCCUCCUCCCCAGUACAUCCUCCUCCCCAGUACAUCCUCCUCGCCAGUACACCCUCCUCCCCAGUACAACCUCUUCCCCAGUACACCCUCCUCCCCAGUACACCCUCCUCCCCAGUACACCCUCCUCCCCAGUACACCCUCAUCCCCAGUACACCCUCCUCCCCAGUACAUCCUCCUCCCCCCCAGUACGCCCUCCUCCUCCCCAGUACAUCCUCCUCCCCAGUACAUCCUCCUCCCCAGUACACCCUCCUCCCCAGUACACCCUCCUCCCCAGUACAUCCUCCUCCCCAGUACAUCCUCCUCCCCAGUACAUCCUCCUCCCCAGUACAUCCUCCUCCCCAGUACACCCUCCUCCCCAGUACAUCCUCCUCCCCAGUACAUCCUCCUCCCCAGUACACCCUCCUCCCCAGUACAACCUCCUCCCCAGUACAUCCUCCCCCCAGUACACCCAGUACAUCCUCCUCCCCCCCAGUACGCCCUCCUCCCCAGUACACCCUCCUCCUCCCCAGUACGCCCUCCUCCUCCCCAGUACACCCUCCUCCCCAGUACACCCUCCUCCCCAGUACAUCCUCCCCCCCAGUACACCCUCCUCCCCAGUACAUCCUCCUCCCCAGUACACCCUCCUCCUCCCCAGUACACCCUCCUACCCAGUACACCUUCCUCCCCAGUACACCCUCCUCCUCCCCAGUACACCCUCCUCCUAUGUGGAUUCUGUUAGUCUGUGUGUUGUGUGUUAG
RNAcentral lists this long non-coding RNA (1653 nucleotides) under Oncorhynchus mykiss (rainbow trout). Its description in RNAcentral is "lncRNA (ENSOMYG00000074291.1)". Lineage: Eukaryota; Metazoa; Chordata; Actinopteri; Salmoniformes; Salmonidae. The record is from RNAcentral.